RNAcentral lists this ribosomal RNA (500 nucleotides) under uncultured bacterium. RNAcentral's name for it is "partial 16S ribosomal RNA". It matches the Rfam family "Bacterial small subunit ribosomal RNA", at positions 30 to 523 of the family's 1533-position model. The record is from RNAcentral.
AUUGAACGCUGGCGGAAUGCUUUACACAUGCAAGUCGAACGGCAGCACGGACUUCGGUCUGGUGGCGAGUGGCGAACGGGUGAGUAAUACAUCGGAACGUGCCCAAUCGUGGGGGAUAACGUAGCGAAAGCUACGCUAAUACCGCAUACGAUCUAAGGAUGAAAGCGGGGGAUCGCAAGACCUCGCGCGAUUGGAGCGGCCGAUGGCAGAUUAGGUAGUUGGUAGGGUAAAGGCCUACCAAGCCGACGAUCUGUAGCUGGUCUGAGAGGAUGAUCAGCCACACUUGGACUGAGACACGGCCCAGACUCCUACGGGAGGCAGCAGUUGGGAAUUUUGGACAAUGGGCGAAAGCCUGAUUCAGCCAUUCCGCGUGCAGGAUGAAGGCCCUCGGGUUGUAAACUGCUUUUGUACAGAACGAAAAGGUUUCUACUAAUACUAGGAGCUCAUGACGGUACUGUAAGAAUAAGCACCGGCUAACUACGUGCCAGCCGCCGCGGUAA